AGUGAACGCUGGCGGUAGGCCUAACACAUGCAAGUCGAACGGCAGCACAGUAAGAGCUUGCUCUUACGGGUGGCGAGUGGCGGACGGGUGAGGAAUACAUCGGAAUCUACUUUUUCGUGGGGGAUAACGUAGGGAAACUUACGCUAAUACCGCAUACGACCUACGGGUGAAAGCAGGGGAUCUUCGGACCUUGCGCGAUUGAAUGAGCCGAUGUCGGAUUAGCUAGUUGGCGGGGUAAAGGCCCACCAAGGCGACGAUCCGUAGCUGGUCUGAGAGGAUGAUCAGCCACACUGGAACUGAGACACGGUCCAGACUCCUACGGGAGGCAGCAGUGGGGAAUAUUGGACAAUGGGCGCAAGUCUGAUCCAGCCAUACCGCGUGGGUGAAGAAGGCCUUCGGGUUGUAAGGCCCUUUUGUUGGGAAAGAAAAGCAGCAGGUUAAUACCCCGCUGUUCUGACGGUACCCAAAGAAUAAGCACCGGCUAACUUCGUG
This 492-nucleotide ribosomal RNA is filed under the name uncultured bacterium. Its description in RNAcentral is "partial 16S ribosomal RNA". It matches the Rfam family "Bacterial small subunit ribosomal RNA", at positions 29 to 507 of the family's 1533-position model. The record is from RNAcentral.